This is a non-coding RNA of Maylandia zebra (zebra mbuna), 526 nucleotides long. NCBI's taxonomy places the organism in Eukaryota, Metazoa, Chordata, Actinopteri, Cichliformes, Cichlidae. The record is from RefSeq and is a predicted model, not a curated record.
AACAGAGGAGAGUUGUUGUUUGUAUUCCAGCUGUAGUAAACAAAGAAGUUUAGUGAAUCUUUUUGACAACAGAGAGUGAUGCAGUAUUGAUGCUGAUUUGAGUUUUCUGAUCCUGUAUUUUUGUUCUUUGUCUUUUGUUACACAGAGUGAAAUAAAGCUUGGUUUUGCCUUUGCUGAGUGAAACAGAACUUUGGUUUUGCGUUUGCUGGAUACUGAUCUGAUCGUCGCAAGUCUGGUGACCUGCUGCAGAAGAUCCUCUCUCUCUCUCUAUCAUUAUAAGCAAUUCUGUCUAUCCUAUCACUCUCCCAACUCUAUCUAAUUUGAAAGCCAUUCUAUCUUGUAUCCCUCUAUCCCUACUGCUCUAUCUAAUUUGAAAGCCAUUCUAUCUUGUAUCCCUCUAUCCCUACCGCUCUAUCUAAUUUGAAAGCCAUUCUAUCUUGUAUCCCUCUAUCCCUACCGCUCUAUCUAAUUUGAAAGCCAUUCUAUCUUGUAUCCCUCUAUCCCUACCGCUCUAUCUAAUUUGAAA